CUGACUCUCUCCUCACUCAUAACUGCUUCUCACUCCUCCACCGACUUCCAACUGUCUGGGCUGGUGCUGUGCUUUUCCCAUGGGCCCUUGUGGAACUAAAAUAAAAAUUAAUGGACACUUUUGAAAGUGUGUAUGACAAACAGAUAAGCUUCACAGGUAAAAGAAAUAUACCCAGUAACCCAGCAUAGGACUAUAAUACAUCUGUGAAACAUAGAAAAGGUAAAUUUCAGCAGGUAAGGCAGCAAAAAGUUUUCUUAAAAUCCUUAGGAAAAAUAUUUUAAUCUGUAUGUAAAUGGGAGGGAUCCACCUAUUAUUCAGUCAUUUAUUUCUCUAGGUUUGUAAAACGAUGGCCUUACAAGAACAGUCUAAGUGUCAGACUGAAGGCCAAAUCUCAGUAUCAUAUUUCUUGGCCAGAGUAUGCCAGCAAAGGCAGACCUGGGCUGAACUAGUCACAUAUCAGAAGGAUGUCUUCUCUGUGUCACAUCAUUACUCUGUGGAUUAUGUCCAGCAUCCUCUAUGUAAUUUACAGCAAAAGGUAGCAUUUUCACUCAUAAACUUCUUUUAACUGAAACAGAUGCCCAUGUUCUGUAGGAUAUGCACAAUAUAUGUUCACAACACAAUUGCAUCAGAUAUGCUCAGCCUUACUGUAGAUCUUACUUUGAUUCAAUACACUGACUUGCCAACAAGAUUUUGAAAGUACUCUCCUUCCCCCAAGCAGACACCAUGCAACACUAAAAAAACCCAAAACAAGCAAUUACAGGUUUGAUUCCACUUCAGGGAAGGAAAGUAGCUAUAUAUUCCAAAAGUAGCUUUAGAAAUGCAAAAUGUAAUUAUUGCAGUUGGAAUCUGCCCAAGGACAAUUGAAUGCAUAAACCUAUUCUUGCAAAAUGUACCAGGAAAUGGCCAAAAUGUUAUCAUGAACACAGUUUUAUUACUCAGCUAAAAGAUAGAAAGCACUCUGCAAUUCUAAGCUAGAGUACUUGAGUCAGUAUUAACUGAGAAGUAUAUCAUCCUCUACAUCAAAAAUCAACAAACCUUUCUACCUUUCUAUUCAUUGAAAGACCCUCAUACAAUACUAAUGUAAGUAAUUUUAAAGAAAUAACCCAAAACACUUAAAAUGGCCUCAGCUGUUUUUAGGAUUUCACUAUAAAAGGUUAGAGAGAUAUAUACCCUAAAACUAUAUGAUUGUAUGAGUGUAACUCUUAAUCUUACAGUUCUUAACAAGCACUCAAAAAUUCACAAGUUUGCAUGUAAACUUGUGUGUUUACACACAAAUUUUCUGGAAAAAAUAAAUGCUAAAUCUACGCAGUUACAGGAUUGUUAUUUCCUUCACCUUUUGUUCACAGAAAAAACAUUGCCGUAACCUUUUUUUUUUUUUUUUUACAUUUCACUUUAUUAAUUGUUAAUUUGCCAUAUUAGAAAAUAAUAACUUCUGUCUUUGAUCAAGGUCAUGACAGAGAGGGAACAUAAUCAUAAACCUGAAUAUUGUUUAAUAAUGAAGAUAGAUUAUUACAUCUUUAAACAAAUGAACAAAGUAAAAUACACAGAAAAUAAUUUUGACUAAGUAACAAUGGAUAUUCUAUGGCUUUUGAAGACUGACAGCACCACUAUCAUUAAACUGUAAGCCAUAUUAUUUUAACUAUUAGCUGUUUAAUACUUCUCAAAUUUUUUGCAGGCCACAGUUGUAUAAUGGAUUUAGUGGAAGAAUUUACCACCAAUAUCAGACCGCAAGCCACCUUAGAUGAGACAGCUCCUUAUAUUAGUUAAUUGCAGUUAUUCUAUUACUUUACUGGAAAUUUUAGUUUUUAAAAACAUGCACAAAGAAGUUCUGAAUUAAAAUAUUCAUUCUAUUUAGUAAUACUGAGCAAGAUGGGAAGAUUAAGCAUUUCCUUACCAAGUAUCUAACCUUGAAGCAAUGAAAUAAGAAUUAAAAUGAUUAGGCAUGUUCUGGUUCCUUGUUA
This is a long non-coding RNA of Passer domesticus (house sparrow), 1961 nucleotides long. RefSeq lists it as uncharacterized. NCBI's taxonomy places the organism in Eukaryota, Metazoa, Chordata, Aves, Passeriformes, Passeridae. The record is from RefSeq and is a predicted model, not a curated record. The transcript has 2 exons.